AUCCUUUUGUGGUUAAUAAACAUGAUGACUGGGUGUUCACACACAUGUGUGAGAUGUGCCUACCUCAAAGCUUGUUACAAUUUAACCAUUACCCAUCUCACA
This is a small nucleolar RNA of Saimiri boliviensis boliviensis (Bolivian squirrel monkey), 102 nucleotides long. RefSeq annotates it as small nucleolar RNA U13. NCBI's taxonomy places the organism in Eukaryota, Metazoa, Chordata, Mammalia, Primates, Cebidae. The record is from RefSeq and is a predicted model, not a curated record.